RNAcentral lists this ribosomal RNA (1042 nucleotides) under uncultured bacterium. RNAcentral's name for it is "bacterial SSU rRNA". It matches the Rfam family "Bacterial small subunit ribosomal RNA", at positions 336 to 1393 of the family's 1533-position model. The record is from RNAcentral.
CUCCUACGGGAGGCAGCAGUCGGGAAUAUUGCGCAAUGGAGGAAACUCUGACGCAUGACGCCGCGUGCAGGAAGAAGGUUUUCGGAUUGUAAACUGCUUUAGACAGGGAAGAACAAAGACAGUACCUGUAGAAUAAGCUCCGGCUAACUACGUGCCAGCAGCCGCGGUAAUACGUAGGGAGCGAGCGUUAUCCGGAUUUAUUGGGUGUAAAGGGUGCGUAGACGGGAAGUCAAGUUAGUUGUGAAAUCCCUCGGCUUAACUGAGGAACUGCAACUAAAACUGAUUUUCUUGAGUACUGGAGAGGAAAGUGGAAUUCCUGGUGUAGCGGUGAAAUGCGUAGAUAUUAGGAGGAACACCGGUGGCGAAGGCGACUUUCUGGACAGAAACUGACGUUGAGGCACGAAAGUGUGGGGAGUAAACAGGAUUAGAUACCCUGGUUAGUCCACACCGUAAACGAUGGAUACUAGGUGUAGGGGAUAUUAAAAUUCUCUGUGCCGCCGCUAACGCAAUAAGUAUCCCACCUGGGGAGUACGGCCGCAAGGUUGAAACUCAAAGGAAUUGACGGGGGCCCGCACAAGCAGUGGAGUAUGUGGUUUAAUUCGACGCAACGCGAAGAACCUUACCAGGGCUUGACAUAUAAGUGAAUAAUUAAGAGAUUAGUUAGCUCUUCGGAGCACUUAUACAGGUGGUGCAUGGUUGUCGUCAGCUCGUGUCGUGAGAUGUUGGGGUUAAGUCCCGCAACGAGCGCAACCCCUGUUUCCAGUUGCCAGCACAUAAAGGUGGGGACUCUGGAGAGACUGCCGGUGAUAAAUCGGAGGAAGGUGGGGACGACGUCAAAUCAUCAUGCCCUUUAUGUCCUGGGCUACACACGUACUACAAUGGCUAUAACAAAGAGAAGCGAGACCGCGAGGUGGAGCAAAACUCAAAAAAGUAGUCUCAGUUCGGAUUGUAGACUGAAAUUCGUCUACAUGAAGCUGGAAUUGCUAGUAAUGGCAGGUCAGCAUACUGCCGUGAAUACGUUCCCGGGCCUUGUACACACGGC